AUUCCAGCUCCAAGAGCGUAUAUUAAAGUUGCUGCGGUUAAAAAGCUCGUAGUUGGAUUUCAGUCUAGGAAGGUUAACUCGCCGAAAGGUUGUACGUUGAUUUUCCUCAGACUUCGUCAGAAGCUCGUGCUGCACUUAACUGUGUGGUACGAUGUUCUGACCUUUUACCUUGAGGAAAGUAGAGUGUUUCAGGCCGGCUACCCAGCUUGAAUACAUUAGCAUGGAAUAAUGGAAUGGAUCUCGGUUCGAUUUCGUUGGUUCUAGGGCUGAGGUGAUGAUCAAUAGGAACAGGCGAAGGUAUUCGUACUUGAGAGUGGGGAGUGAAAUCCGAUGAUCUCCUAAAGACGAUCCGAGGCGAAAGCAUUUGUCAAGGAUGUAUCAUUA
This 384-nucleotide ribosomal RNA is filed under the name Eukaryota sp. Its description in RNAcentral is "partial small subunit ribosomal RNA". It matches the Rfam family "Eukaryotic small subunit ribosomal RNA", at positions 582 to 975 of the family's 1831-position model. The record is from RNAcentral.